Molecule: ribosomal RNA, 590 nt
Filed under: uncultured bacterium
Lineage: Bacteria
Description: bacterial SSU rRNA
Rfam family: Bacterial small subunit ribosomal RNA
Source: RNAcentral
UAAGGAAGUAGCUUGCUACUAGACGACGACCGGCGCACGGGUGAGUAACGCGUAUGUAAUCUGCCUUGUACAGAGGGAUAGCCCAGAGAAAUUUGGAUUAAUACCUCAUAGUAUUACUGAAUCGCAUGAUUUGGUAAUUAAAGCUCCGGCGGUACAAGAUGAACAUGCGUGACAUUAGCUAGUUGGUAAGGUAACGGCUUACCAAGGCUACGAUGUCUAGGGGUUCUGAGAGGAUGAUCCCCCACACUGGUACUGAGACACGGACCAGACUCCUACGGGAGGCAGCAGUGAGGAAUAUUGGUCAAUGGACGCAAGUCUGAACCAGCCAUCCCGCGUGAAGGAUGACUGCCCUAUGGGUUGUAAACUUCUUUUAUAUGCAAAUAAACCUACUUUCGUGAAAGUAGCUGAAGGUAGCAUAUGAAUAAACACCGGCUAACUCCGUGCCAGCAGCCGCGGUAAUACGGAGGGUGUAAGCGUUAUCCGGAUUUAUUGGGUUUAAAGGGUACGUAGGCGGUAAUAUAAGUCAGUGGUGAAAUCCUGCAGCUCAACUGUAGAACUGCCAUUGAAACUGUAUUACUUGAGUAUACUUG